UUCUGGACAAUGGGCGCAAGCCUGAUCCAGCCAUUCCGCGUGAGUGAAGAAGGCCUUCGGGUUGUAAAGCUCUUUCGCAAGGGAAGAAAACUUACUCUCUAAUAAAGAGUGAGGUUGACGGUACCUUGAUAAGAAGCACCGGCUAACUACGUGCCAGCAGCCGCGGUAAUACGUAGGGUGCGAGCGUUAAUCGGAAUUACUGGGCGUAAAGCGUGCGCAGGCGGUUUUGUAAGUCAGAUGUGAAAUCCCCGAGCUCAACUUGGGAACUGCGUUUGAAACUACAAGACUAGAAUAUGUCAGAGGGGGGUAGAAUUCCACGUGUAGCAGUGAAAUGCGUAGAGAUGUGGAGGAAUACCGAGGCGAAGGCAGCCCCCUGGGAUAAUAUUGACGCUCAUGCACGAAA
RNAcentral lists this ribosomal RNA (403 nucleotides) under uncultured bacterium. RNAcentral describes it as "bacterial SSU rRNA". It matches the Rfam family "Bacterial small subunit ribosomal RNA", at positions 362 to 758 of the family's 1533-position model. The record is from RNAcentral.